UGCCAGACUCCUACGGGAGGCAGCAGUGGGGAAUAUUGCACAAUGGGGGAAACCCUGAUGCAGCAACGCCGCGUGAGUGAAGAAGUAUUUCGGUAUGUAAAGCUCUAUCAGCAGGGAAGAAAAUGACGGUACCUGAGUAAGAAGCCCCGGCUAACUACGUGCCAGCAGCCGCGGUAAUACGUAGGGGGCAAGCGUUAUCCGGAUUUACUGGGUGUAAAGGGAGCGUAGACGGCGAUACAAGUCUGAAGUGAAAGCCCGGGGCUCAACCCCGGGACUGCUUUGGAAACUGUGUUGCUGGAGUGCUGGAGAGGCAAGCGGAAUUUCUAGUGUAGCGGUGAAAUGCGUAGAUAUUAGGAAGAACACCAGUGGCGAAGGCGGCUUGCUGGACAGUAACUGACGUUGAGGCUCGAAAGCGUGGGGAGCAAACAGGAUUAGAUACCCUCGUA
Molecule: ribosomal RNA, 446 nt
Filed under: uncultured bacterium
Lineage: Bacteria
Description: bacterial SSU rRNA
Rfam family: Bacterial small subunit ribosomal RNA
Source: RNAcentral